GCUACGAUCGCAUAACCUGGUAGUGCGCCGGUCUCGAAAAUCGGUUUCCGAAAGGAUUUCCCGGUUCAAAUCCGGGUCGUAGCG
Molecule: transfer RNA, 84 nt
Filed under: Candidatus Woesearchaeota archaeon CG10_big_fil_rev_8_21_14_0_10_37_12
Lineage: Archaea; Nanobdellati; Candidatus Woesearchaeota
Description: tRNA-Ser
Rfam family: tRNA
About the family: Transfer RNA (tRNA) molecules are approximately 80 nucleotides in length.
Source: RNAcentral